CAUUCUCUAAACUCUAAAAAAAAGGGGGAAAAAAAGCUGGUUUUGAUCAGCUUCUGGCUUUUUAAAAAAAACUAGCUUGGAAAAAAACAUUGCCCUCAAGAAAAGGGGCACUAUCGGUCAAGUUCUAUUCUGAAGAGCUUUCUUCUGCCAAAAAUGGGAAGAAAAUCUUGGGCAGUCAGACCACUUGUGUUUCCCUGACACUGCGCUUUUGAACAGAUACGAUAAAUAACAAAAAUGCUUCAUUUUGGUUUCCGAAUACUGAAUAGAAGGGUGGGAGGUUCAGGCUCCUGUGUCAUGAACAGCUGCAGCCAGCAUGAAGUCUGAUAAUAGGACUAUGAAAUAAUGCUAAAUUAGGAAAAACUCAAGUCUCUUAAAUUCAUCAAAAAGAAUCGUCCUAUGAAACGUGUUACCUAUUUUAUAGGAGUAUUGUGAGUGGAAUGAGGUUUUUAAAAGAGCACCAAUGGUAGAAAAUAUUUUAGACUCCUCAGCAAUGCGAUUUUACUACAAAAAUCAAGGCUUGGCUCUGUGAAGGGGGUCUCCCAGAAAGAACUUCACACAAAGAUAAUCUCCCAGCUGUUCAGAGUGCUACCAUUUAGAAAUCUUUCUCUAUUUCUCUCUGCUAGGUGCCUGAGAAGUUUAGUGUACCUAGUUAAAAGGAAAAUAAAACAGGGACACUUGUGAAACACAACCUGUACUUUAGGAAGGACAUUGAUAAAGUGCAGCAUGUCCCAAGGGAGGCCACCAGAAUGCGCAUGUUAUAAUGGGGAUUCAUUUAUGGUACAAACUGAAGUAGCUGACCUCUGAAAUCCAUCCCAUCCCUGAGACUUCACGAGUCUUCUUUCUGACUUUAGUUAUUUUUAAGGAAGGGCCAGCUUUUAGAACAUGAGUGGGAGGCACAAAGUUGCAGCUUGGUUUCAAGAGAUUAGUGGGUGGCUUAGUGGACAAUAGUGAGACAAAAAGGCUGCAAUGGAAAGAAACCAGGCCAAUUUGGCAUGAAAGAAGGGCUAUGCCAGUUUAGGAGAUAAGGAAGAAGAUCAUCAAUUGCCAUCCAGGAAUCCUGCUAUCCUACAGGGAGAGAGAUGGCCACAUGGGAAUUGGGAUCUAGUAUUGUUACACCACCAAGCUACUCUUCAAGAAUGUCUGGUUUUCUAUUCAAAGAAGAUUUGGCCACUAUCUUGCAGAUGGACUGAAACAAUGAACUUCUUAAGUCACAGGAGGAAAAGAAGGUGUUACUAGUAGCUAGCCCCUCAAUUCUUAACUGCCAUCCAGUCACAUUAUUUCCUGUGUCUCAGCUAUGUAUUAUGUUGUCCUCAAUCCCAUGAUGUCACCUAUCAUGUUCUAUUCUUUGUUCUGUAUUUCCCAAAAUCUAUAAAAUAAAACUGUGCCCCUCAUCUGGGGUUUUCCCCACUUA
This is a long non-coding RNA of Antechinus flavipes (yellow-footed antechinus), 1411 nucleotides long. RefSeq lists it as uncharacterized. NCBI's taxonomy places the organism in Eukaryota, Metazoa, Chordata, Mammalia, Dasyuromorphia, Dasyuridae. The transcript has 2 exons. The record is from RefSeq and is a predicted model, not a curated record.